GCAGGCCCCCGCUAUGGGCCAGGCCCCCUCUAUGGGGCAGGUCCUCUCUAUGGGGCACGCUAUGGGGCAGGCCCCCACUAUGGGGUGCUAUGGGGCAGGCCCCCUCUAUGGGGCAUGCUAUGGGGCAGGCCCCCUCUAUGGGGCACACUAUGGGGCAGGCCCCCUCUAUGGGGCAGGCCCCCUCUAUGGGGCACCCUAUGGGGCAGGCCCCCUCUAUGGGGCUGAGCCCCCUCUAUGGGGCGCUAUGGGGCCGAGCCCCCUAACCACCCCGUCCUCUCUUUCCAGCUCCACUCCGAAGCCCCGCCCACUCCGAGAAGACCACGCCCACAAACAUUCAGACCACGCCCCCUUUGGCUAAGCCCCGCCCAUUCCCCCUUGAAGCCCCGCCCACGGGCCGCCAUGGCCCCGCCCCUUUUGUGGGCGUGGCCGCUGCUGGCCCUGGCGGUGGGCGGGGCGGUGGGCGGGGCUUGCACCGGAAAGAGGUGGAGCCUAACAGGAAGCGGAGCUUUGAGUGAUGGCGCCGGGAACUACUCGGUGAUGGGGGACUGCAUCUGGGUGCUGCACGCCCCCCCCCGGGCAGCGCGUGCUGCUGACGCUGAUGGAAGUGGAGACGGAGUGCGGCUUCGACUUCCUGUUCGUCUUCGAUGGCCCCGCCUCCCGCGGGCGCCUAUUGGCUGCGCUCAGCGGGAACGCCCCGCCCCCACCGCUGCUGGAGGCC
This 718-nucleotide long non-coding RNA is filed under the name Gallus gallus (chicken). RNAcentral describes it as "lncRNA (ENSGALG00010000273.1)". The record is from RNAcentral. Lineage: Eukaryota; Metazoa; Chordata; Aves; Galliformes; Phasianidae.